AGCAGCCGCGGUAAUUCCAGCUCCAAUAGCGUAUAUUAAAGUUGUUGCAGUUAAAAAGCUCGUAGUUGAAUUUCGGGGUCAGUAGGUUGGUCAUGCCACUGGUAUGUACUGGUCUCACUGAUUCCUCCUUCCUGAUGAGCCGUAAUGCCAUUAAUUUGGUGUUGCGAGGAAUCUGGACUGUUACUUUGAAAAAUUAGAGUGUUUAAAGCAGGCUAACGCUUGAAUACAUUAGCAUGGAAUAAUGAAAUAGGACGUUCGAUCUUAUUUUGUUGGUUUCUAAGAUUGACGUAAUGAUUAAUAGGGAUAGUUGGGGGCAUUAGUAUUCAAUUGUCAGAGGUGAAAUUCUUGGAUUUAUUGAAGACUAACUACUGCGAAAGCAUUUGCCAAGGAUGUUUUCAUUAAUCAAGAACGAAAGUUAGGGGAUCGAAGACGAUCAGAUACCCUCGUAGU
RNAcentral lists this ribosomal RNA (450 nucleotides) under uncultured Glomus. Its description in RNAcentral is "SSU rRNA". It matches the Rfam family "Eukaryotic small subunit ribosomal RNA", at positions 569 to 1024 of the family's 1831-position model. The record is from RNAcentral. Lineage: Eukaryota; Fungi; Glomeromycota; Glomeromycetes; Glomerales; Glomeraceae.